Molecule: unclassified non-coding RNA, 263 nt
Filed under: plant metagenome
Description: partial contains small subunit ribosomal RNA, internal transcribed spacer 1, and 5.8S ribosomal RNA
Source: RNAcentral
UUUCCGUAGGUGAACCUGCGGAAGGAUCAUUAUUGUAUAACCGAGGUGCUAGGACUGUCGCGGACCUGAAAGCUCGUGCACACCCGAGUGCCCUCACACACAGUCAUCUCACCCCUAUGUGCACCUCCGCGUGGAUCCCCCUUUGGCUUGUUCGGAGGGGGGCUUACGUUUUCACACAUACUUUUUCUGCAGUGUAGACUGUGUUUUUUGUUUUUGCGAUCACGCAAUCAAUACAACUUUCAACAACGGAUCUCUUGGCUCUC